AUACACGCACACACACACACACACACUCACGAC
This 33-nucleotide ribosomal RNA is filed under the name Mammomonogamus ierei. RNAcentral describes it as "partial 5.8S ribosomal RNA". The record is from RNAcentral. Lineage: Eukaryota; Metazoa; Nematoda; Chromadorea; Rhabditida; Syngamidae.